Molecule: ribosomal RNA, 261 nt
Filed under: uncultured bacterium
Lineage: Bacteria
Description: partial small subunit ribosomal RNA
Rfam family: Bacterial small subunit ribosomal RNA
Source: RNAcentral
AGGACGAACGCUGGCGGCGUGCUUAACACAUGCAAGUCGAGCGAGGCCCUCCUUCGGGAGGUGCCCUAGCGGCGAACGGGUGAGUAACACGUGGGCAACCUGCCCCUAGCACUGGGAUAACCCCCGGGAAACCGGGGCUAAUACCGGAUACGACCUCCGAGGGCAUCCUUGGAGGUGGAAAGGUUUUCUGGCUAGGGAUGGGCCCGCGGCCUAUCAGCUUGUUGGUGGGGUUACGGCCCACCAAGGCGACGACGGGUAGCC